RNAcentral lists this transfer RNA (72 nucleotides) under Dipodomys ordii (Ord's kangaroo rat). It matches the Rfam family "tRNA". From Rfam's summary of the family: Transfer RNA (tRNA) molecules are approximately 80 nucleotides in length. Their secondary structure includes four short double-helical elements and three loops (D, anti-codon, and T loops). Lineage: Eukaryota; Metazoa; Chordata; Mammalia; Rodentia; Heteromyidae. The record is from Rfam by way of RNAcentral.
GGGAGUGUAACUCAGUGGUAGAGCACAUGUGUAGCAUGCACAAAGUCCUGGGUUCAAUCCCCAGUACUCUUU